AUAUUUACCUGGCAGGGGAGAUACCAUGAUCAGGAAGGUGGUUUUCCCAGGGCACUCAGGAUGUGCUGACCCCUUGCACUCGGGAUGUGCUGACCCCUGAGAUUUCCUCAAAUGUGGGAAACUCGAGUGCAUGAUUUGUGGUAGUGGGGGACUGCGUUUGCGCUUUCCCCUG
RNAcentral lists this small nuclear RNA (172 nucleotides) under Lynx canadensis (Canada lynx). RNAcentral describes it as "U1 spliceosomal RNA (ENSLCNG00005012321.1)". It matches the Rfam family "U1 spliceosomal RNA". From Rfam's summary of the family: U1 is a small nuclear RNA (snRNA) component of the spliceosome (involved in pre-mRNA splicing). Its 5' end forms complementary base pairs with the 5' splice junction, thus defining the 5' donor site of an intron. There are significant differences in sequence and secondary structure between metazoan and yeast U1 snRNAs, the latter being much longer (568 nucleotides as compared to 164 nucleotides in human). Lineage: Eukaryota; Metazoa; Chordata; Mammalia; Carnivora; Felidae. The record is from Rfam by way of RNAcentral.